RNAcentral lists this ribosomal RNA (253 nucleotides) under uncultured bacterium. Its description in RNAcentral is "partial 16S ribosomal RNA". It matches the Rfam family "Bacterial small subunit ribosomal RNA", at positions 524 to 776 of the family's 1533-position model. The record is from RNAcentral.
UACGUAGGGGGCAAGCGUUAUCCGGAUUUACUGGGUGUAAAGGGAGCGUAGACGGUUAUGCAAGUCAGAAGUGAAAGCCCAAAGCUCAACUUCGGGACUGCUUUUGAAACUGUGUAACUAGAGUGCAGGAGGGGUAAGCGGAAUUCCUAGUGUAGCGGUGAAAUGCGUAGAUAUUAGGAGGAACACCGGCGGCGAAGGCGGCUUACUGGACUGUAACUGACGUUGAGGCUCGGAAGCGUGGGGAGCAAACAGG